This 410-nucleotide small nucleolar RNA is filed under the name Zalophus californianus (California sea lion). RNAcentral's name for it is "Small Cajal body-specific RNA 2 (ENSZCAG00015000957.1)". It matches the Rfam family "Small Cajal body-specific RNA 2". Lineage: Eukaryota; Metazoa; Chordata; Mammalia; Carnivora; Otariidae. The record is from RNAcentral.
CUUCCCCGGAGGGAGAGCGGCCUGGGGCGAGGGUGGUUUGUGUUGUGGAGCGAUUCCGCUUGGAAGGCGCGUGUGGGCUGAGUGAGUGGACGCGCGAAUGUGUGAGUGUGCGCAUGGGGCGUGCAAGGCGAGUGCGUGUGCCCGUCCCUGAGCCCCUCCCCCCGCCUACACCUUGAUCUUAUUUGAUCGGGUUGUGACCCUAGCCCCGCCGGGCCGAUCCGAGAUGAAAAGUUACCCUCCUGCGAAGCUCCUUCAUCGGGGCGCUGUGCAGCGAGGCCCCUUGGGCGGCGGUAACGCCGUGGUCCCGGAGCCGGUCUUACGGGGCCCGGCGCUCAGAAGUGAUGAAUUGAUCAGAUAGACGAGGCCGGGCUUGUCCCGGGCCAAUGAUUAUCGAGGCGAUUCUGAUCUGA